Molecule: long non-coding RNA, 837 nt
Filed under: Phoenix dactylifera (date palm)
Lineage: Eukaryota; Viridiplantae; Streptophyta; Magnoliopsida; Arecales; Arecaceae
Description: long non-coding RNA (PDAC_LNC000208)
Source: RNAcentral
UACUUUAGACAGUAAAUAAAAGUGAUAAAAAGCAAAAAAAUUCUUUAGUUUGACAGCAGAAUCAACUAGAGCACAUUAUUGCAGAAAACAAGGGUGUGUUUUCAGGUGAUCUUAAGAAUUGUCUUACACUAUCAUCAUAAAUACAGAACAGAAUAAACUUUUGAGGCAACUAAAUAAGACUGGCAAGACAAAGCAAUGAUUGCUGUGACUUUUAGAAAGGAUAAGAAGGGUCAGUGUAUAAUUCAGAAUGCCAGCAAAUAGAAAGAGUGCAUGAGCAUGUUGAGGUGGACAUAUCGUAAAAUCAGGUAGAUAUAGCCAGAAAUUAGUGUAAAAAGGUAAGCUUAGGAACCAGAACUGCAAAGAAUAAGAUGUCCAGAACCGAUAUGAGGUGGUUAGAUCACAUUUCACAAAGGGACUAAAGAGCUUAGCUGUUUGUAGAAGGGUUCUUAAGCUUGCCUAUAGGGGUAUAUAGAAACUAAUUCAUGCGGGAAUAGAAAUCAUAUAUCAAGCCAAAUAAGAUUAUAAGAAGGACAGGGCUUGCUCUUUAUGGUUGUCUAAUUAGGAAGAGGAGAAGGAGAAAAGUUAAAAAGAGAGUAGAGACAGAAUUAUAGCAUCACUAUGGGAAAUUGGUAAACAUGCGGUGAAACUUACAACAAUAAAAUUAUAUGUGAGAUAAACUACCUCUCUGUAAGAGAGAGAGAGAGAGAGAGAGAGAGAGGUAACGGUUAANNNNNNNNNNNNNNNNNNNNGAGAGAGAGAGAGAGAGAGAGAGAGAGAGGGUUAAACUUAAGACAUAUGGAUCCUUAAUUUAGAAAUAACUACUGCACCUCAUAGUGG